GACGAACCGUCCAAACGUUAUUCGGAAUCACUGGGCUUAAAGGGUGCGUAGGCGGUCCGUUAAGUUGGGUGUGAAAGACCUCGGCUCAACCGAGGAAUGGCGCCCAAAACUGCCGGACUUGAGCAAGGCAGAGGUGAACGGAACUUAGGGUGGAGCGGUGAAAUGCGUUGAUAUCCUAAGGAACACCAGUAGCGAAAGCGGUUCACUGGGCCUUUUCUGACGCUGAUGCACGAAAGCCAGGGGAGCGAACGGG
RNAcentral lists this ribosomal RNA (253 nucleotides) under uncultured bacterium. Its description in RNAcentral is "partial 16S ribosomal RNA". It matches the Rfam family "Bacterial small subunit ribosomal RNA", at positions 524 to 776 of the family's 1533-position model. The record is from RNAcentral.